AGCAGCCGCGGUAAUACGGAGGGGGCUAGCGUUGUUCGGAAUUACUGGGCGUAAAGGGCGCGUAGGCGGAUUGUUAAGCAAGAUGUGAAAUCCCCGGGCUUAACCUGGGAAUGGCAUUUUGAACUGGCAGUCUAGAGUGUGUCAGAGGGGGGUGGAAUUCCACGUGUAGCAGUGAAAUGCGUAGAGAUGUGGAGGAACACCGAUGGCGAAGGCAGCCCCCUGGGAUAACACUGACGCUCAUGUACGAAAGCGUGGGUAGCAA
RNAcentral lists this ribosomal RNA (262 nucleotides) under uncultured bacterium. Its description in RNAcentral is "partial 16S ribosomal RNA". It matches the Rfam family "Bacterial small subunit ribosomal RNA", at positions 510 to 771 of the family's 1533-position model. The record is from RNAcentral.